This 2402-nucleotide long non-coding RNA is filed under the name Populus trichocarpa (black cottonwood). Its description in RNAcentral is "long non-coding RNA (PTRI_LNC000968)". The record is from RNAcentral. Lineage: Eukaryota; Viridiplantae; Streptophyta; Magnoliopsida; Malpighiales; Salicaceae.
CUUAUUACAUGAAGAUGUUGCCAAUUUCUUCGAAUAUAUAGCUCCUCACUUUGGAGUCACUAUUUCUCGCACGAAGCUAUAUAUAAAAAAAUAAAAUAAAAUAAAAAACAGCAUUUUUUACAAACUUCCGACAUGAAAGCCAAGUUACAAAUAUUACAAGUUUUAGUUGAUGCUUAAAUAAACUUUAGUUGAUGCCUUAAAUAAACUUAAUUUGUAUUCUAUCAAGCACAAGUACAACUAGUCACAUGUACAUAUCGAAGGAUUAAUUAAAUCAUUCAAUGAACAUUGUUUAAUUAAGGAAAACAUGCUUCACUUAUCAAAUGUCGAGCUAUUACAACAUUGCUGUCAAAGCCGAUUUAAAAAGAAUGAGAGACAUGGAUAAAACUAUAAAUAAGAUUUUUUAAAAUAUUAAAAAUAAAUAUAUUUUUUAUUUUUUAUAUAUGUCUAAUUAAUAAGUGAAGCCUUGAGUAAUUUUUAUUUUGUAUUUGGAAUCUUUUAUUAAGUAUGAGUAAUCUUCAUUUUAUAAAAGCAUAAUUAACAAAUAUACUUUACUUAUUCUUGUAAUUUUUUUAAAAAAAUUAGGGUUCUUGGACUAUUCUAGUAGUACAAGUUUUACCUUUUCUACAGUAUCAACCACCUAAUCUUUCUUUUCAACCAUGAAUUUUUUCACUGUAAAUAUUUAAACCCUCCUAGAUUCCUCUGCAUCAAUUAACAAUUCUUGUUGUGAGUUUAUUAUAGUCAAGAAAGCCUUCCCUUUUAGUUUAGAAGUUUAAGGUUAGAUCUUUAUUUUAAAUAUUAACAUUACGAAAUUUAUACAAAUUUUCCCGGCCUAAAUGCCUAGGACCUACAUCAUAUUACCAACGCCUACUACUAAUUCUAGACUACAUGCAUCUAUAUCCACACUUUAUAAUAUGUUUCAUUUUUAUAUUUUUCUAUCAAAAAUAUAAGUUUACAUCUUUUUAUAAUCUUAAUUUCACAUACAACCUGAAUAGUUGCGGGUUUUUAUGAACAUUUAAUUUGUUUUCCAACCACUAUCCUAUCAGGCUUCAUAACCUUUUAGGAAGGACUUUAUGAAGCUGGUUGAAUAUUAUUAUUAUUUUUAGCUCCCACUUUACUUGUUUAUGAAAAACUCCUAUAAGUUAGGUUAAAUAAGUUGUUAUUAUAUGAGCGCCUUUGCAACAAUAUUUUUUUUUAGCACUAAAAUUUAUGUGUCAUUAAGUAUUUACAACAUUUGUACUCCUAUGUUAUCCCUAAAAAGGGUAAAAUUCAAUAAAAACUUGACAUUAAAGAAUAAAAAGAAAAAGAAAAACCCUAAAAAUCUAAUAAAAAGAUAGCCCAAAUGCAGGCUAAAAUGGCCCAACAUGGCUGAGUUUGUUAAAAAGCCCAAGUCAUUCACCGCUUCUUUUAUUUUUUUUAAAAUGACAGGCUAUAUGUGGCAUAAAAAUUAAUAUAACUCACACCGUAACUCGAGCCAGUGAUCUUUGGCUAAAACUCACACGUUAACCAAUUGAACUGCUAGAUAAAACUAUUAAUUAUUGAUUAAAAAAAAAAACAUUAUUACCUUAUUUUAGUGUUUUUAAACGUAUAAAUGAAAAUAUGACUCCCGGCAUAGCUCGAACCUAGAACGGUUUAUAUGAUACAUACUAACCAAUUGAGUUACGAAACAAAGAAUAUAUUAACACGCUUCACUACAUAUGAAGUAAGAUUCAUCCCAUGUCAUAUAGGUGUUUCCUUAAUGUUAAUGCUGUUAGGGUAAUGUCACUACCGACUGAUAAAGUCCAACAUAUCAAUGUCUAAGUUUAAUAACCUUGUUUUUUAAGAAAGUAGAUCGGCAACUUUCUUGGGGUACCAUCUUGCAUCCUCAUUUCCAGUUCACAUGCAAGAGGCCCAUCUCCUAAGAGUUAGUCAAAGCCUCGCAGCAACACCUGUCAAAAAGCAAAACCCUUGCUUUCCCCUCAUGGCAUGAAAUAAAGUUAGGAAACGCAAGUGUGCCCCAUCAUACAGAAGGGAAACUCUGAUGCUAUCAAAUGCAUUUGUCCACAGGGAAAACGAAAGGAAGAACAAAGAAAAGAAGGAACAAGGAUGGCCCCUACCUUUUUCUUUACUCCAAAGCUAAUUAACUGGGAGUUCUUGGCAUGUUCGAGAGAAUUACCUUGAGUUUGCAGCUACUUUUUAGGCAUCACAUGAAUAGAAUCCCUCUCGGUUCUUGCAUUUCUUAUUCCUCAUGAUGUUCUCCCUCUGACUGGUAAAGUUUCUCAGGGAUGUUUUGAAUCCACUCGAGGUAUUAUUAUUGCCUAGUCGAGUAACCAUUGGGCCUCUUCUCUUUCUUCUUCUUUUCUUUUUGUUCCUUAGAUGAUAACACGUUUACUGAGAUUUCUGGUAAAUUAAGAAAACGAAAAUAG